Microcebus murinus (gray mouse lemur) is the source of this 376-nucleotide non-coding RNA. The record is from RefSeq and is a predicted model, not a curated record. NCBI's taxonomy places the organism in Eukaryota, Metazoa, Chordata, Mammalia, Primates, Cheirogaleidae.
UUGCUGCUCUGGCCACUGUGCUGUGGGUGGUGGGGUUUGUGAGGGCCACGGGUGAGAGGGAGGAUGAGGAGAGAGGAGGCCAGAAUACACUGAUCAUUUCUCUUUCUCCCGCGUCCGCUGGGCUAGUGUGCUGAGCUGCAGAGAGAGAGAGACGACCUUAAACAGCAACUAGCCAUGCAGUGCCUCGCUGACAAGUUCCAGGCCCUUUGAAGUUGAACCCAGCCUCUUCCUACAAGACAGGCAGCUGGUGCCUUUGGAGCCCAGGAGCCGCGGCCGAGCUGGUUCCCACCGUUUCUCAUUCAGCCACGGCUUCCUCUCACCACCUGCUCCUGUCCUCUCCUGACCCCAGUUACAGCGAAUUAUCCAAUUAAAGUAG